GACGAACGCUGGCGGCGCGCUUAACACAUGCAAGUCGAACGGAAAGGCCUGCUUUCCCUUGUGGAUUGCGGGUACUCGAGUGGCGAACGGGUGAGUAACACGUGAGUGAUCUGCCCCCAACUUGGGUAUAAGCCUGGGAAACUGGGUCUAAUUCCCGAUAGGACUGCAGGGUGGUGCCUGUGGUGGAAAACGAUUUUCUAGUGGUUGGGGAUGAGCUCGCGGCCUAUCAGCUUGUUGGCGGGGUAAUGGCCUACCAAGGCGGCGACGGGUAGCCGGCCUGAGAGGGGGGACGGCCACAUUGGGACUGAGAUACGGCCCAGACUCCUACGGGAGGCAGCAGUGGGGAAUAUUGCACAAUGGGCGGAAGCCUGAUGCAGCGACGCCGCGUGGGGGAUGACGGCCUUCGGGUUGUAAACUCCUUGCGACCGCGAGGAAGCCACCUGGUUGGAAGGGUGGUGACGGUAGUGGUAGAAGAAGCACCGGCUAACUACGUG
Molecule: ribosomal RNA, 494 nt
Filed under: uncultured bacterium
Lineage: Bacteria
Description: partial 16S ribosomal RNA
Rfam family: Bacterial small subunit ribosomal RNA
Source: RNAcentral